RNAcentral lists this ribosomal RNA (253 nucleotides) under uncultured bacterium. Its description in RNAcentral is "partial 16S ribosomal RNA". It matches the Rfam family "Bacterial small subunit ribosomal RNA", at positions 524 to 776 of the family's 1533-position model. The record is from RNAcentral.
UACAGAGGGUGCGAGCGUUAAUCGGAAUUACUGGGCGUAAAGCGCACGUAGGCGGCUUGGUAUGUCGGGUGUGAAAUCCCCGGGCUCAACCUGGGAACUGCAUCCGAAACUGCCUUGCUCGAGUAUGGGAGAGGGAAGUGGAAUUUCCGGUGUAGCGGUGAAAUGCGUAGAUAUCGGGAGGAACACCAGUGGCGAAGGCGACUACCUGGCCUGUUCUUGACGCUGAGGCGCGAAAGCUAGGGGAGCAAACGGG